UUUUCGUUUUGUUGCUCCUGCGAGCGUUUCAUGAUUACGGUAAUUAGGCACCUGUUGGGUUAAUCCGUAGAAAAUACAUGGACAACAGGGACUUUUUUGGGUGGAGCGGCGUGUCUAUUUCAGCCCACAGAGGCUCUGGCUCAAGCUUUAAAUUUUUUCAAAUGGGUGAACAGCAGCGGAGCAGAUUUUCACCUCAAGCACUAAAUUCGCAGAUUGACCAAUAAAGAUGUUGUUGCUAAUGUCCAGCAGAACAAUAGCAAUGUAUCCUCCUCACUCUUUUUCCUGCCUGUCUGAACCUGCCCCCCACCUUGGAUUCCCUGGCUUUGACCCUCUGCUUGUCUGACCACAAUUGCCUGGAUUGUCCAAAAUAAACGCACCAAGCUUUGCCAACGGCUCAGUCCUAGUUUCAAUCUGUGCCUGAAGCAUAACAUGGGAAUAUUAAAAGAAGGAAUAUGACUGUUUUGAUAUGAGGGGUAUAAAAUGUGUAUUUUGACUGAAAUAUGUGCUUUUGUUUAACAAUGGCAAAUGUGCAUGACUAAAUUAUUUUAUCAAAAUUUCUGUAUUUAAAAGUAACAGUGUUCUGAGCAUAGCAUUUUUCAGGAACAUUUAAAUUAAUUUUAUCUAC
Cyprinodon tularosa is the source of this 625-nucleotide long non-coding RNA. RefSeq lists it as uncharacterized. Lineage: Eukaryota; Metazoa; Chordata; Actinopteri; Cyprinodontiformes; Cyprinodontidae. The transcript is spliced from 3 exons. The record is from RefSeq and is a predicted model, not a curated record.